This 471-nucleotide ribosomal RNA is filed under the name uncultured bacterium. RNAcentral describes it as "bacterial SSU rRNA". It matches the Rfam family "Bacterial small subunit ribosomal RNA", at positions 335 to 797 of the family's 1533-position model. The record is from RNAcentral.
ACUCCUACGGGAGGCAGCAGUAGGAAUCUUCCGCAAUGGACGAAAGUCUGACGGAGCAACGCCGCGUGAGUGAUGAAGGUUUUCGGAUCGUAAAACUCUGUUGUUAGGGAAGAACAAGUACCGGAGUAACUGCCGGUACCUUGACGGUACCUAACCAGAAAGCCACGGCUAACUACGUGCCAGCAGCCGCGGUAAUACGUAGUGGCAAGCGUUGUCCGGAAUUAUUGGGCGUAAAGGGCGCGUAGGCGGUUACAUAAGUCCGAUGUUAAAGCGUAGGGCUCAACCCUAUAAAGGCGUUGGAUACUGUGAAACUAGACUUCUGGAGAGGUAAGUGGAAUUACCAGAGUAGCGGUGAAAUGCGUAGAUACUGGUAGGAACACCCAUAGCGAAGGCAGCUUACUGGACAGAGAGUGACGCUGAGGCGCGAAAGUGUGGGGGAGCAAACCGGAUUAGAUACCCUGGUGAGGUCAG